RNAcentral lists this ribosomal RNA (248 nucleotides) under uncultured bacterium. RNAcentral's name for it is "partial 16S ribosomal RNA". It matches the Rfam family "Bacterial small subunit ribosomal RNA", at positions 524 to 771 of the family's 1533-position model. The record is from RNAcentral.
UACGUAGGGCGCAAGCGUUGUCCGGAAUUAUUGGGCGUAAAGAGCUCGUAGGCGGUUUGUCGCGUCUGCUGUGAAAACCUAAGGCUCAACCUUGGGCUUGCAGUGGGUACGGGCAGACUAGAGUGCGGUAGGGGUGACUGGAAUUCCUGGUGUAGCGGUGGAAUGCGCAGAUAUCUGGAGGAACACCGGUGGCGAAGGCGGCAUCCUGGACCAACACUGACGCUGAGGAGCGAAAGCCAGGGGAGCAA